RNAcentral lists this ribosomal RNA (534 nucleotides) under Meyerozyma caribbica. RNAcentral describes it as "partial large subunit ribosomal RNA". It matches the Rfam family "Eukaryotic large subunit ribosomal RNA", at positions 97 to 647 of the family's 3401-position model. The record is from RNAcentral. Lineage: Eukaryota; Fungi; Ascomycota; Pichiomycetes; Serinales; Debaryomycetaceae.
AGCGGCAAAAGCUCAAAUUUGAAAUCUGGCACCUUCGGUGUCCGAGUUGUAAUUUGAAGAUUGUAACCUUGGGGUUGGCUCUUGUCUAUGUUUCUUGGAACAGGACGUCACAGAGGGUGAGAAUCCCGUGCGAUGAGAUGCCCAAUCCUAUGUAAGGUGCUUUCGAAGAGUCGAGUUGUUUGGGAAUGCAGCUCUAAGUGGGUGGUAAAUUCCAUCUAAAGCUAAAUAUUGGCGAGAGACCGAUAGCGAACAAGUACAGUGAUGGAAAGAUGAAAAGAACUUUGAAAAGAGAGUGAAAAAGUACGUGAAAUUGUUGAAAGGGAAGGGUUUGAGAUCAGACUCGAUAUUUUGUGAGCCUUGCCUUCGUGGCGGGGUGACCCGCAGCUUAUCGGGCCAGCAUCGGUUUGGGCGGUAGGAUAAUGGCGUAGGAAUGUGACUUUGCUUCGGUGAAGUGUUAUAGCCUGCGUUGAUGCUGCCUGCCUAGACCGAGGACUGCGAUUUUAUCAAGGAUGCUGGCAUAAUGAUCCCAAACCG